RNAcentral lists this unclassified non-coding RNA (222 nucleotides) under uncultured Tomentella. RNAcentral's name for it is "sequence contains ITS2". The record is from RNAcentral. Lineage: Eukaryota; Fungi; Basidiomycota; Agaricomycetes; Thelephorales; Thelephoraceae.
ACACCUCAACUCUUUAUGGUUUUCCAUGAUGAGCUUGGACUUUGGGGGGUUUUGCUGGCAUAUGGUCAGCUCCUCUAAAAUAAAUCAGCUUGCCGGUGUUUGGUGGGCAUCACAGGUGUGAUAACCAUCUACGCUUGUGGUUUUUCCACCAGGUAACCUUCAGCAAUGGAGGUUCACCGGAGCUCACAGAUGUCUCUCCUCAGUGAGGACAGCCCUUUGAAU